GGCUCAGAUUGAACGCUGGCGGCAUGCUUUACACAUGCAAGUCGAACGGUAACAGGUCUUCGGAUGCUGACGAGUGGCGAACGGGUGAGUAAUGCAUCGGAACGUGCCCAGUCGUGGGGAUAACGUAGCGAAAGUUACGCUAAUACCGCAUACGAUCUAUGGAUGAAAGCGGGGGACUCGCAAGAGCCUCGCGCGAUUGGAGCGGCCGAUAUCAGAUUAGGUAGUUGGUGGGGUAAAGGCUCACCAAGCCAACGAUCUGUAGCUGGUCUGAGAGGACGACCAGCCACACUGGAACUGAGACACGGUCCAGACUCCUACGGGAGGCAGCAGUGGGGAAUUUUGGACAAUGGACGCAAGUCUGAUCCAGCCAUUCCGCGUGCAGGAUGAAGGCCCUCGGGUUGUAAACUGCUUUUGUACGGAACGAAAAGGUCUCUAUUAAUACUAGGGGCUCAUGACGGUACCGUAAGAAUAAGCACCGGCUAACUACGUG
RNAcentral lists this ribosomal RNA (490 nucleotides) under uncultured bacterium. RNAcentral's name for it is "bacterial SSU rRNA". It matches the Rfam family "Bacterial small subunit ribosomal RNA", at positions 21 to 507 of the family's 1533-position model. The record is from RNAcentral.